This 253-nucleotide ribosomal RNA is filed under the name uncultured bacterium. RNAcentral's name for it is "partial 16S ribosomal RNA". It matches the Rfam family "Bacterial small subunit ribosomal RNA", at positions 524 to 776 of the family's 1533-position model. The record is from RNAcentral.
UACGUAGGGUGCGAGCGUUGUCCGGAAUUAUUGGGCGUAAAGGGCUCGUAGGCGGUUUGUCGCGUCGGGAGUGAAAACUCAGGGCUUAACCCUGAGCCUGCUUCCGAUACGGGCAGACUAGAGGUAUGCAGGGGAGAAUGGAAUUCCUGGUGUAGCGGUGAAAUGCGCAGAUAUCAGGAGGAACACCGGUGGCGAAGGCGGGUCUCUGGGCCGAUACUGACGCUGAGGAGCGAAAGCGUGGGGAGCAAACAGG